RNAcentral lists this ribosomal RNA (468 nucleotides) under uncultured bacterium. RNAcentral's name for it is "partial 16S ribosomal RNA". It matches the Rfam family "Bacterial small subunit ribosomal RNA", at positions 28 to 507 of the family's 1533-position model. The record is from RNAcentral.
GACGAACGCUGGCGGCGUGCUUAACACAUGCAAGUCGAACGGAAAGGCCCUGCUUUUGUGGGGUGCUCGAGUGGCGAACGGGUGAGUAACACGUGAGUAACCUGCCCUUGACUUUGGGAUAACUUCAGGAAACUGGGGCUAAUACCGGAUAGGAGCUCCUGCUGCAUGGUGGGGGUUGGAAAGUUUCGGCGGUUGGGGAUGGACUCGCGGCUUAUCAGCUUGUUGGUGGGGUAGUGGCUUACCAAGGCUUUGACGGGUAGCCGGCCUGAGAGGGUGACCGGCCACGUUGGAACUGAGAUACGGCCCAGACUCCUACGGGAGGCAGCAGUGGGGAAUAUUGCACAAUGGGCGGAAGCAUGAUGCAGCAACGCCGCGUGCGGGAUGACGGCCUUCGGGUUGUAAACCGCUUUCGCCUGUGACGAAGCGUGAGUGACGGUAAUGGGUAAAGAAGCACCGGCUAACUACGUG